GACGAACGCUGGCGGCGUGCUUAACACAUGCAAGUCGAACGGGCCUUGUCCCCUUUUUUUUGGGGGUGGGGUUAGUGGCGAACGGGUGAGUAACACGUGAGUAACCUGCCCCUCACUUCUGGAUAACCGCUUGAAAGGGUGGCUAAUACGGGGUGUUCUGGCCUGCUCGCAUGGGUGGGUUUGGAAAGAUUCGACCGGUUUUGGUUGUUUUGGUGGGGGAUGGGCUCGCGGCCUAUCAGCUGGUUGGUGGGGUGAUGGCCUGCCAAGGCUUUGACGGGUAGCCGGCCUGAGAGGGUGGGCGGUCACACUGGGACUGAGACACGGCCCAGACUCCUACGGGAGGCAGCAGUGGGGAAUAGUGCACAAUGGGCGCAAGCCUGAUGCAGCGACGCCGCGUGAGGGAUGGAGGCCUUCGGGUUGUGAACCUCUUUCGCCAGUGAAGAAGGUCCUGCUCUUUGUGGUGGGGUUGACGGUAGCUGGGUUAAUGAAGCGCCGGCUAACUACGUG
Molecule: ribosomal RNA, 507 nt
Filed under: uncultured bacterium
Lineage: Bacteria
Description: partial 16S ribosomal RNA
Rfam family: Bacterial small subunit ribosomal RNA
Source: RNAcentral